UACGUAGGGACCAAGCGUUGUUCGGAUUUACUGGGCGUAAAGGGCGCGUAGGCGGCGUGUUAAGUCACUUGUGAAAUCUCUGAGCUUAACUCAGAACGGUCAAGUGAUACUGAUGUGCUAGAGUGCAGAAGGGGCAACCGGAAUUCUUGGUGUAGCGGUGAAAUGCGUAGAUAUCAAGAGGAACACCUGAGGUGAAGACGGGUUGCUGGGCUGACACUGACGCUGAGGCGCGAAAGCUAGGGUAGCAAACAGG
RNAcentral lists this ribosomal RNA (253 nucleotides) under uncultured bacterium. RNAcentral's name for it is "partial 16S ribosomal RNA". It matches the Rfam family "Bacterial small subunit ribosomal RNA", at positions 524 to 776 of the family's 1533-position model. The record is from RNAcentral.